This 162-nucleotide ribosomal RNA is filed under the name Streptococcus suis. Its description in RNAcentral is "partial 16S ribosomal RNA". It matches the Rfam family "Bacterial small subunit ribosomal RNA", at positions 1381 to 1533 of the family's 1533-position model. Lineage: Bacteria; Bacillati; Bacillota; Bacilli; Lactobacillales; Streptococcaceae. The record is from RNAcentral.
UUGUACACACCGCCCGUCACACCACGAGAGUUUGUAACACCCGAAGUCGGUGAGGUAACCUUUUAGGAGCCAGCCGCCUAAGGUGGGAUAGAUGAUUGGGGUGAAGUCGUAACAAGGUAGCCGUAUCGGAAGGUGCGGCUGGAUCACCUCCUUUCUAAGGAA